UAUGAUGGCCAUGCUGGCUUUUCAAAGUCUGAUCUCGUCAGAUUUCAGAAGCUAAGCAAGGCUGGGCCUGGUUAGUUCUUGAAUGGGAGACCACAGGGAAUAUCAGGCACCACAUUU
This 117-nucleotide ribosomal RNA is filed under the name Periophthalmus magnuspinnatus. Lineage: Eukaryota; Metazoa; Chordata; Actinopteri; Gobiiformes; Gobiidae. The record is from RNAcentral.